AACGAACGCUGGCGGCAUGCCUAACACAUGCAAGUCGAACGAGACCUUCGGGUCUAGUGGCGCACGGGUGCGUAACGCGUGGGAACCUGCCCUUAGGUUCGGAAUAACUCCCCGAAAGGGGUGCUAAUACCGGAUAAUGUCUUCGGACCAAAGAUUUAUCGCCUUUGGAUGGGCCCGCGUUGGAUUAGCUAGUUGGUAGGGUAAAAGCCUACCAAGGCGACGAUCCAUAGCUGGUCUGAGAGGAUGAUCAGCCACACUGGGACUGAGACACGGCCCAGACUCCUACGGGAGGCAGCAGUGGGGAAUAGUGGACAAUGGGCGAAAGCCUGAUCCAGCAAUGCCGCGUGAGGGAUGAAGGCCUUAGGGGUGUAAAGCUCUUUUACCCGGGAUGAUAAUGACAGUACCGGGAGAAUAAGCACCGGCUAACUCCGUGC
RNAcentral lists this ribosomal RNA (434 nucleotides) under uncultured bacterium. Its description in RNAcentral is "partial 16S ribosomal RNA". It matches the Rfam family "Bacterial small subunit ribosomal RNA", at positions 29 to 508 of the family's 1533-position model. The record is from RNAcentral.